Molecule: long non-coding RNA, 441 nt
Organism: Oncorhynchus tshawytscha (Chinook salmon)
Lineage: Eukaryota; Metazoa; Chordata; Actinopteri; Salmoniformes; Salmonidae
Exons: 2
Source: RefSeq, a predicted model, not a curated record
GUAAGAGCUGGGUCAUGUUCAUUAUACAACCUGCACAUCCAGAUAGCCAAAAAGGUAAGAGCUGGGUCAUGUUCAUUAUAGCCAAAAAGGUAAGAGCUGGGUCAUGUUCAUUAUACAACCUGCACAUCCAGAUAGCUAAAAAGGUAAGAGCUUGGUCAUGUUCAUUACACAACCUGCACAUCCAGAUAGCCAAAAAGGUAAGAGCUGGGUCAUGUUCAUUAUAGCCAAAAAGGUAAGAGCUGGGUCAUGUUCAUUAUACAACCUGCACAUCCAGAUAGCCAAAAAGGUAAGAGCUGGGUCUUGUUCAUUAUACAACCUGCACAUCCAGAUAGCCAAAAAGGUAUGAGCUGGGUCAUGUUCAUUAUACAACCUGCACAUCCAGAUAGCCAAAAAGGUAAGAGCUGGGUCAUGUUCAUUAUACAACCUGCACAUCCAGAUAGC